RNAcentral lists this ribosomal RNA (509 nucleotides) under Ovatospora brasiliensis. RNAcentral's name for it is "eukaryotic LSU rRNA". It matches the Rfam family "Eukaryotic large subunit ribosomal RNA", at positions 81 to 602 of the family's 3401-position model. The record is from RNAcentral. Lineage: Eukaryota; Fungi; Ascomycota; Sordariomycetes; Sordariales; Chaetomiaceae.
UAGUAACGGCGAGUGAAGCGGCAACAGCUCAAAUUUGAAAUCUGGCCUCGGCCCGAGUUGUAAUUUGUAGAGGAUGCUUUAGGCGCGGCUCCUUCUGAGUGCCCUGGAACGGGACGCCACAGAGGGUGAGAGCCCCGUAUAGUUGGAAGCCUAGCCUGUGUAAAGCUCCUUCGACGAGUCGAGUAGUUUGGGAAUGCUGCUCAAAAUGGGAGGUAAAUUUCUUCUAAAGCUAAAUACCGGCCAGAGACCGAUAGCGCACAAGUAGAGUGAUCGAAAGAUGAAAAGCACUUUGAAAAGAGGGUUAAAUAGCACGUGAAAUUGUUGAAAGGGAAGCGCUUGUGACCAGACUUGCGCCGGGCUGAUCAUCCGGAGUUCUCUCCGGUGCACUCUGCCCGGCUCAGGCCAGCAUCGGUUCUCGCGGGGGGAUAAAGGCCUCGGGAACGUAGCUCCUCCGGGAGUGUUAUAGCCCGGGGCGUAAUGCCCUCGCGGGGACCGAGGUUCGCGCAUCU